This 1652-nucleotide unclassified non-coding RNA is filed under the name Chelonus insularis. RNAcentral's name for it is "probable G-protein coupled receptor B0563.6, transcript variant X2". Lineage: Eukaryota; Metazoa; Arthropoda; Insecta; Hymenoptera; Braconidae. The record is from RNAcentral.
ACGUCUUCUUAUGAAUAAUGUGAAAAAUUGAUUUAUUUACAUAAUAAAUGCCUAGAUUCUCAUGUUUUAUGAUGAAUAUUUGAAAUAUAUAUAUUGAGAAGUUAAUUUGAUACAUUAUUUGUAAUAAAUUUCAUGUAAAUUAUCAUAUUUUCAAUAUUAUCGUAGUAGCGUCUAUUCAUGAUUGUUUCAACAAUCAGCGUACCGGCAACGCAAUAUUUAUAAAAAAUACCUUGAUUAAAUCGUAAAAAUAUACAUAUUUCAAUAUUAUCAUUGUAACUUAUUGGUUAAAUAAGAUACUCAGAUAUAAUUUCUUCCUAUCAACUACAUUGCUUUUCAAUAAUAUUCAAUAAUUAAUUAACAGGAUAAUUUCAGGAUAAAAAUCCAGAGAGUUUAAUGCAAGUUGAGCUGUCAUCAAUAUCGUUAAGUGGCUCCGUUUGCACGAAUUCUGGCAAUCUUCAUGUGAAGAGCUAAUAUUCCCAACAGCACCGGAUGAUCCAGUUUGUCCCUGAAGACUUCUCAUCGUAGCAGUAACAUUAGCAUUGCCUCCAUUACCGGUUGUGUCUUGCAGCCUGUAAAAAGAGUCAAGGUAUUCGAGAAUACUCAGCCUAUGUUUUGACAUAAUGCGACCUUGUAAGAUAAUCCUUUAAACGACGGAUGCGGGUGGUCUAAGUCACUUCGUCACCGAAUUUUGUUAAAACUCAUCGGCAGAAUAAAACGAAUUAUGGAAAAAACAGACAAAAGAAUUAGUCAAGAUGUAUAAACAGUUCUGAAAAUUUCCUUUUAAACAAUAUGCAACUAAAGAAGUGGAAGAAGAAUGUCAUGGAUGACAUACUGGAAAACUUAGAGCUGUACAUUUCUUAAUCUUCCGGGUGUAGACACUGGCAAUAUGGUGAGACUUCUUUGUGCCUGAAAUACGGUCUCGGAUCCUGCACGAUGUGGCAUCUGUAAUAACAAGCGAUGAAGUCUUGUUCUUUCAACCGUUUCCCUUCGUGAACGUCGUCGUCGUCGUCAUCAUCAUCAUCAUCAUCAUCUUCGUCGAUGUCAACUUGACGCAUUCAUCUGAACAACCUUGGUGAGUACUUUACAAGUACCUUGCACGAGUUUACCUUAUUUAUGGAAAUUCCACAUGAAUUUCAUACUUUAACAAUAAUGAUCAUUUAAAUGAGAGAAAAUUAGCACAAAGAUAACAGUCAUAUUUCAAGUAAAUUAUGCUGAGCAAGAAUUUUUAUGAAGUAUCAAAAACUUUCGUAUGAGCUUGAAGGAAAAGAUAAUGUUCUUGGAGUAUCAUUAAAAUAGCGAUGAUAAUUUAUGAAUGGAGAAAGAAUAGAAAAUAUAUAAGUAAAAGAGAAAAAGUGAGACAGGUAUAUGUAGAGUAGUAAAGUUUGAAUGAAUAGUACGAGGCGCUUAGUAGUAUUGUUUUGGUUAUUUUGGCAAACCUAACACAACACUGCUUGUUGUUUAACAAAAUAAAUGAUGUCGUCGCUACGCUUUUUUUUCUACUCCUCAUCGUGAUCCCAUUACUUAACGUGUAUGUAUGAAAACAAAUUUGAUCAGUUGUUUAGGAGUAUGCAAAGUUAGAUAGUUUUUUUUUCUAUCUAAUUGAUAAUCAUAAUAUAGAUAUAAGUACAUUAAAAAUAAAUUAACUAUGUAAA